This 58-nucleotide transfer RNA is filed under the name Trichostrongylus vitrinus. Its description in RNAcentral is "tRNA-Met". Lineage: Eukaryota; Metazoa; Nematoda; Chromadorea; Rhabditida; Trichostrongylidae. The record is from RNAcentral.
AAUAAGAUAGGAUAAAUAAUAGUCUAUUAGGUUCAUACCCUAAAGGUAAUCUUGUUGU